CCUACGGGAGGCAGCAGUGGGGGAUAUUGCACAAUGGGGGGAACCCUGAUGCAGCGACGCCGCGUGGGUGAAGAAGCGCCUCGGCGCGUAAAGCCCUGUCAGCAGGGAAGAAAAUGACGGUACCUGAAGAAGAAGCCCCGGCUAACUACGGGCCAGCAGCCGCGGUAAUACGUAGGGGGCAAGCGUUAUCCGGAUUUACUGGGUGGAAAGGGGGCGCAGACGGCGAUGCAAGCCAGGAGUGAAAGCCCGGGGCCCAACCCCGGGACUGCUCUUGGAAGUGCGUGGCUGGAGUGCAGGAGGGGCAGGCGGAAUUCCUGGUGUAGCGGUGAAAUGCGUAGAUAUCAGGAGGAACACCGGUGGCGAAGGCGGCCUGCUGGACUGCAACUGACGUUGAGGCCCGAAAGCGUGGGGAGCAAACAGGAUUAGAUACCCUAGUAGUC
Molecule: ribosomal RNA, 440 nt
Filed under: uncultured bacterium
Lineage: Bacteria
Description: partial 16S ribosomal RNA
Rfam family: Bacterial small subunit ribosomal RNA
Source: RNAcentral